This 402-nucleotide ribosomal RNA is filed under the name uncultured bacterium. RNAcentral describes it as "bacterial SSU rRNA". It matches the Rfam family "Bacterial small subunit ribosomal RNA", at positions 355 to 774 of the family's 1533-position model. The record is from RNAcentral.
UCGGGAAUUUUGGGCAAUGGGCGAAAGCCUGACCCAGCAACGCCGCGUGAGGGAUGAAGUGUUUCGGUAUGUAAACCUCGAAAGAAUGGGAAGAAUAAAUGACGGUACCAUUUAUAAGCUCCGGCUAACUACGUGCCAGCAGCCGCGGUAAUACGUAGGGAGCAAGCGUUGUUCGGAUUUACUGGGCGUCAAGGGCGCGUAGGCGGCGCGGUAAGUCACUUGUGAAAUCUCUGAGCUUAACUCAGAACGGCCAAGUGAUACUGCUGUGCUAGAGUGCGGAAGAGGCUACCGGAAUUCUUGGUGUAGCGGUGAAAUGCGUAGAUAUCAAGAGGAACACCUGAGGCGAAGGCGGGUUGCUGGGCCGACACUGACGCUGAUGCGCGAAAGCCAGGGGAGCAAACG